Non-coding RNA from Struthio camelus australis, 3916 nucleotides. The record is from RefSeq and is a predicted model, not a curated record. NCBI's taxonomy places the organism in Eukaryota, Metazoa, Chordata, Aves, Struthioniformes, Struthionidae.
AGCAAAUCAUUAAAGAAAAUCUGUGGUUAGCUCAAGAAUAUCAAAUCUUUCAGAACUACUACUUAAAAGAUAAAGAAAACCUCACAGAACUCUAUGACAGUAGAAUCAAGGUGGAAGCUGCAGUUAGAGAUCAUCAUCAGACAGCCCAGGGCGAAUAGAGCUGAAGACAAACUGUACUAGCACUUCUUUUCUUCCACAGUACAAAUAGAUGGACAUUGUUAGCGCUUCCUGCUACUCGAUCAUUUCUUCUAACAGACUCAUGCAUUAAUAUGCCCGUAUGCUAAAUUGCAGGGAAAACCUGGUGUGAGGGCAGUCAGUCCUCAGUCAGAUGGGUUCUCCAAAUGACUGUACAAACACAGCGAUAAAGACUCCAAACCAAAUUUCCCUUCUUGAUGUCCUCUUGGCUGUGCAUCUUCUUCCACGAUCCUUUUGUAGAUUGAACACUGGUGGAAUCUUCUAUCUUCAACUCUUUCUUGCAAAAAAUUAUCUUUAUUUCAGAUCAACUAAAGUAGUGACUACUUUUUGUCAUUGACUCAAGUAGUAUCCUUUUCCAGCACUCCCCACAGUAGCCUAUGACUCUUAUAUUUCCUCUGGAUACCCAGAUUCCUAUGUAAUUCCUUCCUGGGUAACUUUCAGGAGGAAAUAACGGAACCAAACUUUGAACUGCCUGUCUUUCAUUCUGUGGCAGGUGUAGAAGACAGUUACCACUGUAAUAAAGAAAGUGUGAAUUGAAAUCUCAAGGUUAUAUGGUCAAAAUUAAGGGCUGUGCAGUGCAUUAUUCUGUGACCAUGAAUAUGUCGAUUUCAUUAAAGCUGAAGAACCUGGAAAACAUCAUAUUUUUAGAUCUAUGCACUUUGUCGCUACUCUUGGCAACAUCUGGAAAUGCUUCCCAUAGUCCCCAUCCACAAGAGAAGCACCCUUCCUAGCUACUUGCAUCUCAUACACAGCCUUCAUUGGGCAUGUAAUUGUGAUGAGCCUAAUGAAAACUCAGAGCAGAGAUGCAGUAACCAGCAGUCUAGAAGAGUUCUUAAACUAGGGAGUAGCUUCUUAAAUCCCUCAGCUUCAGCUGACUGUGAGCAUGCUGUCAUUUCAUUGCAAAUUCCAGACUAGUUACUUUAAAACAGUGCUAGAAAUAUUCCCAUUCUACUAGUAGUUCUGUUCCAGAAUUUCCAUUCUACUGCAAGGCAUAUCUCAGGAAUUGUGUAGAUUUAUGCUGCUCACAUGGUUCACUACACCAAGGUCUUAGGCACACACAGAAUAUGCUCUGCAGGCAUACUCCCUUCUCCUCUCUCACUCCCUGUCUCCCUUACUCUCCUUUCCUUAGGCCAGCUGAGUUCAUGAGAAUAGCAUACGGAUCCAUAUGUGUGGACUUCUCUGAAGAUGUGGAUUUGCACAGGUGCAACUGAAGGGUUGAGGACCAUAGGUUUUUGUGAUGAAGUGUCAAGAAGAAAGCAUCUGAUUUGGUUUGUAGAACUUGCAUUGUGUGUAACAGUUAAGGAAGAGAUGUUCAUCUUUUUACUUGUAAAUUCAAUACAUUUGAUCCUAAAGCCAAUGAAUGAUAUAAAGCAUAGAAUCACCAUGUUAUUUUCCAGAGAAAUAUUAUUUGCUGUGUUAGCUAGGUAGCGUCCUUUCACAUCUGAAUCAAACUGCAGUUUUAUAGAACAGAGGAAAACUUCUACAUCCUGAAGUAUAACAAAAGCAAAUUCACAUCCAUUCCCUGCAGAAAUCUCUAUCUUGUUACACAAAUUCAAAUGUAAGUGUUUUAAAGAUAUGUUUCUUUGACACCAUAUUAUACAUAUAAAUGAUAGAUUGCUAUUAUUUUCUUCCUGUGUCUAUCUGAAAACAAAAGCAGGUAUAUACUAUAUAACAGUAUAUAUUUUUUAGCCUUCUAGAGAUUAUGUUCAUUUCAGACAUCAAAUUCAGGCUAAGCAAAAUGUCAAACUUUGCUCACUAAUUUCAUACUUAUCUUUUCUUUUAAUAUCCUGUCUUGGUUCUCUAGUUAUAACAUAGAUACACCUAAAGUUUGCUAGAAACAUUUGCCAUUAGCUUCUUCUAAAAAAAUUAAAUUUGAGGAUAAUCCUACCUCCAGAGCUUAUUCUGUUCCUGGCCAUUGACUGUGACAGUGAAAGGCUCAUCUGAAAGCACUGGAGCAUCCCAUCUAAAAGCAUAAAACAUAUUACAUUUCAUGAAAAAGCUAAUUCAGAUUGUUUAAUUCUGGUAAUAUUGCCUCUGUCACCUUCAAAAUCAAAAUGUUCUUUCCUGUUAUUAUAAGGAAAACAACCAAAUUGCUUAAAAACCCAUUUGAAUACACAGCUGCCUUAUGUUGCAUACUAAUUUGAUUUAAAACACUUGUGCCUCACCAGCAUUUUUAUACUGAUGAAUUUAACGAAGAAAUAUAAAUAUAUUUUAGUAAUUUUUGAUGACAGAGUACACUAUACUGUCCACAAUAUCCCUGGACCGAACAAAAAUGUCAUUGCAGUAUUGGAAGGCACUAAACUGAAUGUCUUUCUGUAUUUGUUUGCUCAGUGCUUUGGGCAGUGUGCCAACCUCAUUGCAAAUAACUGCAUUAGUCAAGUGUAUCCAAAUUAUUACAACAGAGCGUCCAUCCCAGUUAUUGCUGUUGAAGCAUUUUCUGAAUCUUCACAUCACUAGAAACAUUUAUUUGAGGGGAAAGCUUUGCAUAAAUUCCGGACAAUUUUAAUUUUAGACAGAAAAUCUUAACAUCUUUACAAGUUACUUAUAUAACUAGCUCUUCCUAGAAAGAAGAAUUAGAAAGUCAUUGUACUACUUUUGUUUACUUAUUGUGAACAUCUUGUCUAAAGUAGGGAACUGCCAUGGGAAAACAGUGAAGAAAAGAGGAGUCAGAACAGAAUUCACUGUAUUUAUUUUUCAGCUUACAGAAAUCUAUUGUCAAUAGUCAUCUCACCUUCUUCUAUCUUCAGUCUACCAGCUCAAAUCCUUAUUCCUUGAUCUAAAUGACAAUGAUAUGAUAAGUCUUUGUUGAUUUCCAUUUACCAUGGCUUCAUAAGAGAAAUCGCAGAUAGUAUGUAUCUUAAUCUUUUCUCUGCUGGAGGAAAUCCUCCUCCUAGAGCAGAGUUGUCAAAUCUUUGUAAACAUAGCAACCUUUAUAUUAAAAUAUUUGUAUGUGUGCAAGCCACAGGGCACGAAGCUCCCCACGGUCCCACCAUUCCAUUUCAGGUCACAGUGAGCAGGUGGGCCCCAAAACAACUGAGUAAUACUGGCUUCUGGAGCCCUCGCUGGCUUACAUCUUCUCACAGUUGGUGAUUUGUAUUAUCCUGCAAUUUCCAGCUCAGCAUAGCCCUGGUUUUGAGAUAUACUCCUGGAAGAAGAGAUGCAUUUGGGCUGCUUUGAGAGCUACAACGCCAUUCAAGAGACACAGACUGAUCUUCCUGUUAUAUACAGCUGGCCUGCCAGCGUGAAGGAAAUCCUUUCCUCCUUGGUUUAGAAUCAGUCUUUUCCAUGUCUUAGAGUGGGACAACAAUACCUUUUUCAUUAACCCCACUGAAACAAGACUUCAGCCUGCCACAGUAGGGAUGUGUCCUUGUGAUUUUACUCUCAACACAAGGUUCAUCAAUGUUCUGUAUUUUAUUAAGCCUUUUGGUUUGGGAGUAAAAAUUCCAGCCUGUUGUACCUACAUGUAUCACUGAGUUUGUUGAGCAAUUUAGCAUGGACAUAAGUGAGAUAGUAUUAAACAGUCAUUAACCAGUUAGUUUCGUCUGGUGCACUGUAUUUUACAGAAAAGUAUAUAUUACCGUGCAGUGAAAGUCUGUAUCAGAGAACUUGAUUAGAAACAGGAAAUUGCAAUAUUUUUUAAAAUACUCAAAAUUAUGUUGAAAGUUCUCUAAAUUUCUUGUGAAAGAGAGUUUUUAAAACAAUUGACUUUGGAACCCUGACA